Molecule: ribosomal RNA, 489 nt
Filed under: uncultured bacterium
Lineage: Bacteria
Description: bacterial SSU rRNA
Rfam family: Bacterial small subunit ribosomal RNA
Source: RNAcentral
AAUCAACGCUGGCGGCGUGCCUAACACAUGCAAGUCGAGCGCGAAAGCGGGGUAACUCGCAAGUAGAGCGGCGAACGGGUGAGUAACGCGUGGGUGAUCUACCUCCGAGUGGGGAAUAACACCGGGAAACUGGUGCUAAUACCGCAUGACAUCCUCGGAUCACACUGGGGAUCAAAGCCGGGGACCGCAAGGCCUGGCGCUUGGAGAGGAGCCCGCGUCCGAUUAGCAGUUGGCGGGGUAACGGCCCACCAAGGCGACGACCGGUAGCCGGCCUGAGAGGGCGGACGGCCACACUGGGACUGAGACACGGCCCAGACUCCUACGGGAGGCAGCAGUGGGGAAUUUUUCGCAAUGGGCGCAAGCCUGACGAAGCAACGCCGCGUGGGGAUGAAGGUCUUCGGAUUGUAAACCCCUGUCGACCGGGACGAAAGUACCCGACCUAACACGUCGGAAUAUUGACUGUACCGGUGGAGGAAGCCACGGCUAACU